UACGAAGGGGGCUAGCGUUGCUCGGAAUCACUGGGCGUAAAGGGCGCGUAGGCGGCCGAUUAAGUCGGGGGUGAAAGCCUGUGGCUCAACCACAGAAUUGCCUCGAUACUGGUUGGCUUGAGACCGGAAGAGGACAGCGGAACUGCGAGUGUAGAGGUGAAAUUCGUAGAUAUUCGCAAGAACACCAGUGGCGAAGGCGGCUCACUGGCCCGAUACUGACGCUGAGGCACGAAAGCGUGGGGAGCAAACAGG
Molecule: ribosomal RNA, 252 nt
Filed under: uncultured bacterium
Lineage: Bacteria
Description: partial 16S ribosomal RNA
Rfam family: Bacterial small subunit ribosomal RNA
Source: RNAcentral